This 520-nucleotide ribosomal RNA is filed under the name uncultured bacterium. RNAcentral describes it as "partial 16S ribosomal RNA". It matches the Rfam family "Bacterial small subunit ribosomal RNA", at positions 28 to 507 of the family's 1533-position model. The record is from RNAcentral.
GACGAACGCUGGCGGCGUGCCUAAUACAUGCAAGUCGAACGCACUCUCGUUUAGAUUGAAGGAGUUUGCUCCUGAUUGAUAAACAUUUGAGUGAGUGGCGGACGGGUGAGUAACACGUGGGUAACCUGCCCUAAAGUGGGGGAUAACAUUUGGAAACAGAUACUAAUACCGCAUAAAACCUAACACCGCAUGGUGUAGGGUUGAAAGAUGGUUUCGGCUAUCACUUUAGGAUGGACCCGCGGUGCAUUAGUUAGUUGGUGAGGUAAAGGCUCACCAAGACCGUGAUGCAUAGCCGACCUGAGAGGGUAAUCGGCCACACUGGGACUGAGACACGGCCCAGACUCCUACGGGAGGCAGCAGUAGGGAAUCUUCCACAAUGGACGAAAGUCUGAUGGAGCAACGCCGCGUGAGUGAAGAAGGUUUUCGGAUCGUAAAACUCUGUUGUUGGAGAAGAAUGUAUCUGAUAGUAACUGAUCAGGUAGUGACGGUAGCCAACCAGAAAGCCACGGCUAACUACGUG